CAAGUUACUUUACUGGUUGCUCA
This 23-nucleotide non-coding RNA is filed under the name Arabidopsis thaliana (thale cress). Lineage: Eukaryota; Viridiplantae; Streptophyta; Magnoliopsida; Brassicales; Brassicaceae. The record is from RNAcentral.